This 595-nucleotide long non-coding RNA is filed under the name Populus tremula. Its description in RNAcentral is "long non-coding RNA (PTRE_LNC001915)". The record is from RNAcentral. Lineage: Eukaryota; Viridiplantae; Streptophyta; Magnoliopsida; Malpighiales; Salicaceae.
GAUUUUAAUCAAAUGGGUUGUUCACCCUCUGAUUUAGAGCGAAUUGAAAUCGAGGACUGCGCUUCUCUCAAAUGCGUCGCACUGGACUUGCUCCCCAAGUUAAAAUCUCUUUAUAUCUGUGAAUGUCUAGAUCUGGAAUCACUAUGUGCACAUGAAAGACCCCUCAAUGAUCUCAACUCUCUCCAUUCUUUGAAAAUCGACACGUGCCCUAAAUUAGUUUCAUUUCCCAAAGGAGGGUUACCUGCUCCAGUCUUGACAGAACUUCAUUUAUUUCAAUGCAGCAACCUGAAGCAGUUGCCUGAAAGUAUGCAUUCCCUCCUCACCUCCCUUACACAUUUGAAAAUAAGUCAAUGCCAGAAGAAGGGUUGCCCUCCUCCCUUUCUUCUCUUAAAAUUCACUGUUGUUCUAUGCUGAAAUCUCUUCCAAGGCUUCAACACCUCACCUCCCUUACAGAUUGGAAAUAUGUGACUGCCCUCUGAUUGAGUCAAUGCCAGAAGAAGGGUUGCCCUCCUCCCUUUCUUCUCUUGUAAUUAACAGUUGUCCUAUGCUGAAAUCUCUUCCAAGGCUGCAACACCUCACCUCUCUUAGAGAAUUG